RNAcentral lists this ribosomal RNA (463 nucleotides) under uncultured bacterium. RNAcentral's name for it is "partial 16S ribosomal RNA". It matches the Rfam family "Bacterial small subunit ribosomal RNA", at positions 28 to 507 of the family's 1533-position model. The record is from RNAcentral.
GACGAACGCUGGCGGCGUGCUUAACACAUGCAAGUCGAACGGAAAGGCCCUGCUUUUGUGGGGUGCUCGAGUGGCGAACGGGUGAGUAACACGUGAGUAACCUGCCCUUGACUUUGGGAUAACUUCAGGAAACUGGGGCUAAUACCGGAUAGGAGCUCCUGCUGCAUGGUGGGGGUUGGAAAGUUUCGGCGGUUGGGGAUGGACUCGCGGCUUAUCAGCUUGUUGGUGGGGUAGUGGCUUACCAAGGCUUUGACGGGUAGCCGGCCUGAGAGGGUGACCGGGCAGGCUGGGACUGGGGAGCGGCGGAGACUGGUACGGGAGGGAGCAGGGGGGGAUAGAGGACAAUGGGGGAAAGCCUGAUCCAGCAAUGCGGGGUGAGUGGGGAAAGCAGUAGGGUUGUAAAGCUCUUUUACCCGGGAUGAGAAUGACGGUACCGGGGGAAUAAGCUCCGGCUAACUCCGUG